GAUGAACGCUGGCGGCGUGCUUAACACAUGCAAGUCGAACGGAAAGGCGCUGCUUUUGUGGGGUGCUCGAUUGGCGAACAGGGGAGUAACACGUGAGUAACCUGUCCUUGUCUUUGGGAGAACUUCAGGAGACUGGGGCGAAUACCGGGUAGAAUCUCCUGAUGCGUGUGGUGGAUUGGAAAGUUUCGGCGGUUGGGGAUGUACUCGCGGCUUAUCAGCUUGUUGGUGGGGUAGUGGCUUACCAAGGCUUUGACGGGUAGCCGGCCUGAGAGGGUGACCGGCCACAUUGGGACUGAGAUACGGCCCAGACUCCUACGGGAGGCAGCAGUGGGGAAUAUUGCACAAUGGGCGGAAGCCUGAUGCAGCAACGCCGCGUGCGGGAUGACGGCCUUCGGGUUGUAAACCGCUUUCGCCUGUGACGAAGCGUGAGUGACGGUAAUGGGUAAAGAAGCACCGGCUAACUACGUG
This 468-nucleotide ribosomal RNA is filed under the name uncultured bacterium. RNAcentral's name for it is "partial 16S ribosomal RNA". It matches the Rfam family "Bacterial small subunit ribosomal RNA", at positions 28 to 507 of the family's 1533-position model. The record is from RNAcentral.